GUACCCGGAUAACGCCCCCAAAACCGCCCUCAAAACCGCCAUUUUUGAAGUGUGGAUAAUUGUACACUUUUCGCACUCAACGGCCGCCAUAUUGUCUACGUUUUGCCUACGCAGCGGAAGUGACGUGACAAACUGCCCGCGAUCUUUUGAUAUUCAGAAAAGAAAAACAUGGCGGACGAGUCGACUGAAGCGGGUCCUUCGACCGGUACCACUACUACAUACAAAUGGACUGACGAGGACACCGCCAACUUCAUAAGGUGGAGGUCCGCCAACAGAGGCAUUUUCACUGGUGGCCGGACCACCAACGCUGCCGGCUAUAGAAUGUACCUGGAGAAGAGAGGGUUGGUGGGCCAGAUCACCACCAAUUUCCUUAAAAAGAAAU
Engraulis encrasicolus (European anchovy) is the source of this 382-nucleotide long non-coding RNA. RefSeq lists it as uncharacterized. NCBI's taxonomy places the organism in Eukaryota, Metazoa, Chordata, Actinopteri, Clupeiformes, Engraulidae. The record is from RefSeq and is a predicted model, not a curated record. The transcript has 3 exons.